GCUGUACAGACUACCACCGGCUG
This 23-nucleotide non-coding RNA is filed under the name Cricetulus griseus (Chinese hamster). The record is from RNAcentral. Lineage: Eukaryota; Metazoa; Chordata; Mammalia; Rodentia; Cricetidae.